GGGUAUGUUGGAUCCUUGCUUGCGCAACGAAAACACCUCCCACAUGUCUGUCCAGUAAAUUGCCCGCCAUCUCAUAUCGGUUGUCCCUAUCUCGGUUGCCUGUGUUACGUACCUAUCUCGAAGGUAUUGCGUUGCCUAACAAUGACCCUAUUCCGCCCGAAGCUGUAACGAUGCUUGUGGCCGAAGGUGGAACCAAAAGAGCACAUCGUGUUCCUCCCGUCCACGUUUGUCGUGGAGGGUCUUGGCCCAUGAUGAAGUUCUCGAAUUCUCGGAUGCGGAAAAUUCGGUGGGUACAAGGACGCAUGUCCUUCAUUUUGCCCCGAUAAAGAAGCCCUCGACGCUUCGUGCGGUAGACGGUCUUCCUCGUGCUUGGUCG
This 376-nucleotide unclassified non-coding RNA is filed under the name Jasminum nudiflorum. Its description in RNAcentral is "partial external transcribed spacer". Lineage: Eukaryota; Viridiplantae; Streptophyta; Magnoliopsida; Lamiales; Oleaceae. The record is from RNAcentral.